This 460-nucleotide ribosomal RNA is filed under the name uncultured bacterium. Its description in RNAcentral is "partial 16S ribosomal RNA". It matches the Rfam family "Bacterial small subunit ribosomal RNA", at positions 338 to 795 of the family's 1533-position model. The record is from RNAcentral.
CCUACGGGUGACAGCAGUGAGGAAUAUUGGUCAAUGGGCGCGAGCCUGAACCAGCCAAGUAGCGUGAAGGAUGACUGCCCUACGGGUUGUAAACUCCUUUUAUAAAGGAAUAAAGUGAGGCACGGGUGCCUUUUUGUAUGUACUUUAUGAAUAAGGAUCGGCUAACCCCGGGCCAGCAGCCGCGGUAAUACGGAGGAUCCGAGCGUUACCCGGAUUGAUUGGGUUUAAAGGGAGCGUAGAUGGGUUGUUAAGUCAGUUGUGAAAGUUUGCGGCUCAACCGUAAAAUUGCAAUUGAUACUGGCAGUCUUGAGUACAGUUGAGGUAGGCGGAAUUCGUGGUGUAGCGGUGAAAUGCGUAGAUAUCACGAAGAACUCCGAUUGCGAAGGCAGCUUACUAAGCUGCCACUGACAUUGAUGCUCGAAAGUGUGGGUAUCAAACAGGAUUAGAUACCCGAGUAGUC